ACAGGGGAAUAACGCCGAAGGCACAAAAAUAAAAAAUACGAGCUUACCCACACAACUCUGGAGCAUGCGGAUAAUUUUGAAGCAACGAGAAGAUCCUUUACUGGUCUUGACAUCCUCUGAAAUCCCUAGAGAUAGGGUUCUCCUUCGGGAGCAGAGUGACAGGUGGUGCAUGGUUGUCGUCAGCUCGUGUCGUGAGAUGUUGGGUUAAGUCCCGCAACGAGCGCAACCCUUGAUCUUAGUUGCCAUCAUUAAGUUGGGCACUCUAAGGUGACUGCCGGUGACAAACCGGAGGAAGGUGGGGAUGACGUCAAAUCAUCAUGCCCCUUAUGACCUGGGCUACACACGUGCUACAAUGGACGGUACAAAGAGCUGCAAGACCGCGAGGUGGAGCUAAUCUCAUAAAACCGUUCUCAGUUCGGAUUGUAGGCUGCAACUCGCCUACAUGAAGCUGGAAUCGCUAGUAAUCGCGGAUCAGCAUGCCGCGGUGAAUACGUUCCCGGGCCUUGUACACACCGCCCGUCACACCACGAGAGUUUGUAACACCCGAAGUCGGUGGGGUAACCUUUUGGAGCCAGCCGCAUAAGGUGAACAAGUUG
RNAcentral lists this ribosomal RNA (596 nucleotides) under Bacillus sp. ih1. RNAcentral's name for it is "bacterial SSU rRNA". It matches the Rfam family "Bacterial small subunit ribosomal RNA", at positions 875 to 1474 of the family's 1533-position model. Lineage: Bacteria; Bacillati; Bacillota; Bacilli; Caryophanales; Bacillaceae. The record is from RNAcentral.